Molecule: long non-coding RNA, 223 nt
Filed under: Elaeis guineensis (African oil palm)
Lineage: Eukaryota; Viridiplantae; Streptophyta; Magnoliopsida; Arecales; Arecaceae
Description: long non-coding RNA (EGUI_LNC001324)
Source: RNAcentral
GUUCGGUCACUAACUUAGGUAUAGUAUAGUCGGUUACUUUCGACUUUAUUCUUUUUUUGUUUGUUUCUGGAUUGUACUGACUUUUGUACUGAUUGCAGCCAUGCAGUCGAGGGCGCGAGUGUCAAGCGUCGAUAUUCAUCAACACGCUGUGAGGAAGAGGACAGUGUCCGAAGCUGGUCAUUCCCAACCAUCCAAGAAGAGUCGAGCUACUACUUCAACGCCA